CGGAGGGUGCAAGCGUUAUCCGGAUUUAUUGGGGUUUAAAAGGGUCCGUAGGCGGACCCGUAAGUCAGUGGUGAAAUCUCAUAGCUUAACUAUGAAACUGCCAUUGAUACUGCGGGUCUUGAGUAAAUUUGAAGUGGCUGGAAUAAGUAGUGUAGCGGUGAAAUGCAUAGAUAUUACUUAGAACACCAAUUGCGAAGGCAGGUCACUAAGAUUUUAACUGACGCUGAUGGACGAAAGCGUGGGUAGCGAACAGGAUU
RNAcentral lists this ribosomal RNA (257 nucleotides) under uncultured bacterium. RNAcentral describes it as "partial 16S ribosomal RNA". It matches the Rfam family "Bacterial small subunit ribosomal RNA", at positions 526 to 779 of the family's 1533-position model. The record is from RNAcentral.